Delphinapterus leucas (beluga whale) is the source of this 3481-nucleotide non-coding RNA. The record is from RefSeq and is a predicted model, not a curated record. Lineage: Eukaryota; Metazoa; Chordata; Mammalia; Artiodactyla; Monodontidae.
AUGAGUGUGUAUAUAUAAAUGUCAUAUAAAGUAUAUUUUACAUGGCAUGCAAGAAUUGUUUAACAUUAGAAAAUCAAUCAUAUAAUUUAUCACAUUGACAUAUUACAAUUCAUAAUGGGAAACAUUCAGGGAAAUUCGACACCUGUUCAUAAUUUUUAAAAAAAUCUUUGCCAACUGGUAUGAAUCAUAGCUCCAUGACUUAUUCAUUAAUAAAUUUUAAUUCAGGUAAAGACAAUCUAAGCUUUGUACAAAAAAGGAAAUGAGUGGAUGAGAAGAGGAAAGAGAAUGGAGGCAAAGAGAACAAUUAUGAGGUCAUCAUGACAAAUCCAGGCUGGAUGCAGUGGACCCAGUGGACAAGACUAUAGAGCACGGAGGGCCACCUUGAAAGCAGUCACAACCUACAGAAGGCAGCAUCAGGCAGCUGCCAACAAGUUUUGUUAAGAGUGAGAUCAGGGCUUCCCUACGAGAAUGACAAUGACUUCAUUGGGCUUUAAGGAAAUUCAUUCAGGUGUGGAGUUGGGUGGAAAGUGCCAGAAAAGUAUGAGUGACCCAACAUCUAGAGUUUGGUAAUUAUUUCAUAACUGCCUGGUGCUUAAACAUUUGGGACACCAGAUUACAGACUGUAUUACCUAAGGACCAAACCCAGAUCAGAGGGAGAAGGUACUAGAACCCUUUGCCAGGAGCAAUCUCCUGCUGAAACCAUCCAAGGGGCAGGAUCCACAGCAGGACAAAGGAACUUUUGAAAGGGACUUGAAAAAGAGUUCAGUUACUCUGUGGUUAACCCAUCAAAGGCGUCUUCCUGUAACCCAGAGGACAGCAGGCCUCGACAUGUGCCGGCCAUUUGGAAAACAGAGUCAUAUGGAGUAGAUCAAACAUUUCAGGAGAGCCCCUUGCCUUGAAAACACGGACCCUUAUGAAAAUCAUUAAGCAAUUGGUUGUUAUUUAUUUGCUUACACUGUGCUUCAGCAAAGCAAGCAGGAAGAUGAGGAUAAGAACCACUGAGCCAGUUUCAGAGGCCCUAGUUCAGGAGAGAAGGAUUCCCUUACACCCCGGAUUUUAAAGAGCCUUUUACGAAGACAUCCGACCACACGGCUGGCAUAGGGAGGCUGUCUUGGCUCCCUUCGACUGUGUAUUAGGUUAACAACCACCUCAAGCUUCUCAGAAGCCUAGAAAUCCCCAGGCUGUUAGAGGAAUUCCACAGGGCUAAGAAAACGCUUGCAAUCUUAGCACUGGAAGCAGAAAACUAUUUCCAAACAUCGUCCUUUCUCACUCUGUGGCCCUUUGUGUAACCCACUCCCAGCCUCAGAAAACUGGGUGGCUCCACAGCACACCCCCAGAUCUGUCCUUCUUAAUGAGCCAAGCACUCUUCAUUCAUGGCUUGGAUCCGUGGACCUGGGAAUGAACAAGGAGCAAGUCCGUAUUUUCACUUCGGGAGUUACCAGGUUAUUGCGCAUCGAGUUCCUUCUAAACUAAAGUAAUUCCAUUGUCUGAUGCCUGGAACUUUGCUUGCUUUGAAGUUUAAGGAAGUAGCCCCUCAAGAUUCAUCCGUCUCCUAGCCUCAACUUCCCUUUCACUCAGACGCAAAGUGCUUGUGAGUGGAGAAGGGCUCAGCAGCAUGUCAUCAUUCUUACACUUUGGGCUUUCAAGUGAUCUGUGCUCUGGGGGAUGCUGAAUGCAUCGCCUCAGAGGCUCUGGGAAGUGGGGGAGGAGGCUGGCUCUUGGAAGCUGAACUCAACUUCUCCCAGAACAUUACAGAGGUUGAAAAAAUCUGUCCUCCAAAUAUUCAACACAUAUGUUCUGAAAUUCAUUAAGUUCCAAAAUUAAAAAACAAGUUUAAAAGAUCCAGCAUUGGUUCUUGUACAAAGCAGAUACUCAAGGAAUGCUUGUUGACUGAGGAAUUUGUUAGCUGAUAAAUAUGAGAAAUACAGUCUGUUUUGUAGCACAUGGCAGCUGAGGUUGCUAGGAAGACAUUUGUCCCUGGUUUGUCAUUAUACAAGCUUUAGAAAAUGAAUUGCCUAAACCCUACCUGUGUUUGAAGAACAACUUCCCUGACAAAGCCUUCUCAAUGCUCUCUGCUUUGUCAUUUUUGGAGGGGACAACUAUCACUUGGCUUUGAGUUGUUAAUUAACUUUUUGUGAUCUUCCCAACUUCAUGGUCCCCAAAGGGAAAAUUCUGUCUUAUUUCUCGUUUACGUAAAUUUUGGAGGUAACCCCCUCAGGAUCCAACAUGAGUUUCUGCACAAAGUACAUACUCAACAACUGUUUGUUGACAGAUCAAUUUGUUCAUUAAUAGAUAUUAAAAAUACAGUCUGGUCUGUACCAUAUGACAGCUGAAGUUGCAGUACACAAAAAGCGUCAUUCUCUGCUACUUUUUUAUAGACCGUACUUAGAAGAAAUAUUUUUCAGAAGACCUUUUCUGUGGUCUCAAGUUAGGUUUAGACACCAGUAUUUAAGAGGGAAUAAUGUGUUUUAUGCAGUAAAAUAAGACAGCAACUAUACAAAUAUUGCAACACUGCAGUGACUUUUUCUGUUGACAGAGAUGUUGAUUAAUUUCUAGUAGGCCCAUGACAGCCAUUUCUGAGGAUCCUUAGUUAUGAGAGAUGCUCGGUAGAUGAGCUAAUCAGGUUUUUUUAGAGUACAAGAUCUAGUCUUGAUGCUUUUUGUAUUAAGAAAGAAAGGAAGGGAGGGGGAAGGGAAAGAGAGAGAGAGCAAGUGAGGAAAAAGGAAGGAAGGAAGGAAGAAACUCUGUUAAAAUAUCCACAUACGUGAUUUAACCACUUAUUAGCUAAUGACUCGUACACAUAACAAGUACGUCAUUAUAAGAAAGUUGAAAGGAAAAAUAAAUUCCAACCCUAGAAAUAUAAUUUGGGGAUCUUUCCCCCACUUUGCCCAAUGCCAUUGUACUUCCAGGCCUAAGGAAAGCUCAUUCUGGGAGUCUACCUAAACUCUAGAACUUCUAAGUAUCACUCUUCUUAUCAGUGCUUCAGAUCGGGAUAUUCUUCCAAUAGAAGUCUGGGAAAUGGGUCUUUACAUUCACUUGCACGUCUUAUCAUUGGGAAAAUAGCCUCCCCACAGCAGGUACUGGCUCCUUUCGGUGGACUCUGAAGGCAUCGUCUCAUUUAAUCACUCCAUGGAGGCAGGAGCUGUCUCUUUUAUUUGAGGAGGGCUGAUACACGAGAGGUGCCCAAUACCUAUCUGUCAAGAAAAUACAUUCUCCUAUCAGCCCUAUGAAGUAGCAGCAGGAGGCCAGUUUACUGGAUGGGGAAAUUCAAAUGUGAAGGGAACAAGUCACUUGCCUGAGAUCUUCGCAGAGCCUGAUUUGUACCACUGUCUCUCUGACUAGCCUCUGUGCUGAGCCCUCCUGCGAGAAGGCAACCAUCUACCUUGGUACCCACCCUCAUCAAUAUAUCUGGAGGGCUACUUUCAAGGGUAUCCUUUCCUUUUGCUGUAGACAGGCCUCUCACUGUUGUGGCCUCUCCCGU